AGCGGACAGGGUGUGGGUUGGAGUUGGAGAAGUGGGAUGGAGAAAUAGAAGCAUUCUACGUAAAGGCUAAUUAUAAUAGGUACAGUAGGCAGGGCACGCGGGCAAGUGUUUGCUCGCCUCGGGAUGAACGGAUGUAAUGUGCGCAUCCAUGCAGCGCAGCACAGGAGAGGGAGGGUGAAGGGAGGCAGAGCAAACAUUCACACGCGCAGCGUUUAUACAGAAGCAUAAACCAAAAAACAAAACAAAAACAACAGCAACAAGAAAACCCCCACCAAAACUCAGUGACCGCACAGCUGGAGCCAGAAACAGAUCGGGGGAGAAAGCACCAAACCGCUGGCUGAACUUUCCCGGUGAUUACGCAUGUGGACUCUCACGGACUGCGGCGUGGACACAGGGACAAAAUAGAGGAUCCAGGGGAAGAUGGACGCAGUUGUCGGUGCUGUUUUGCGGACUACAGUGUGAGCGGAUGAGGCGCGGGACUCGGAUCCGUUGUUUGUGAUCGCGCAAAAGCGCAGUAACGCACGCAGUGCUCUCUGUCUCGCAGUAAAUAGCCUACCACUUUCUUCCUAAGGCGUUAUCACCAUGAUGACUGCUUUCUGUUUUCUUCGAACGAAUGUGCUGUUGUGUCUUUAUCUGUGCCUGGAUCUCAAGAACGAAGUGGUAUUUAAUGUGCG
Molecule: long non-coding RNA, 674 nt
Organism: Ictalurus punctatus (channel catfish)
Lineage: Eukaryota; Metazoa; Chordata; Actinopteri; Siluriformes; Ictaluridae
Source: Ensembl